Molecule: non-coding RNA, 347 nt
Organism: Pipistrellus kuhlii (Kuhl's pipistrelle)
Lineage: Eukaryota; Metazoa; Chordata; Mammalia; Chiroptera; Vespertilionidae
Product: small Cajal body-specific RNA 7
Exons: 1
Source: RefSeq, a predicted model, not a curated record
UGGAAAUGAUGAAAUAAAGAUAAUUGGGUGUUGAAUGUUGUAUGACUGGAAGUUUUUAAUAUGUAAAUUAAUCUAAGUUUAAUAUUUUAUAGGUAAAUUAAGUUUAAUAUUUUAUAGGUACUUAAUAGAAAGUGUGUGUGUGCGUGCGUGUGAUUGUGGAGGCUAUGGAAAGGGGGCACUGACUGGUGAUGCUGAUAUUGGAGUGCAUCUGAGGCUGUUGUAGAAACAUAUGGGUUGUUGGUUACAACAUUGCUGAUGAUUAUGACCCAAAAACAGCUCACCUAAGUAGCCUAACACCCUAAAAUCUUUAACAGGUUCAUUAAAUGUGUUCCUGUGAUCUGAUCCAA